AAAUGAGUAGCCUCAAUUCGCUCUCCUAAGAUACCCGGAGCGAAAUCUCCAGGAACGCUCACUCACAAUGCGAAUAGGUUCAUAUUCAUUCCAGGUAAAGCGAAAUGGUUUAAUUUAUAGCAUUAGCAAGCUUUUCUGUUUAAAGUAAAUGCUAAAUUUGGGCGUCCGCUUUGGGACGUAGAACUUUUAUCCUACAUUUUACGAAUUACAUUCUUAAAGCAACACUUAGUCAGAGAAUGAGUUUGUGAGUGUUCGGAUCACCUUGAGUACAGUCUUGAUUAAGGAGAGGGACCCAAUGUGGUAUAAAGGAAUAUUUGGAGGGUGAGAGACAUGAAUGGCUGACGUGGAGGAAAGAAGAUAUUUAGGGAGCUCUGAGAAAUCUGGGGUAAGAAGCAAGG
This is a non-coding RNA of Pelobates cultripes (western spadefoot toad), 398 nucleotides long. Lineage: Eukaryota; Metazoa; Chordata; Amphibia; Anura; Pelobatidae. The record is from the annotation of a GenBank genome assembly.